AAUGGGCGAAAGCCUGAUCCAGCCAUGCCGCGUGAGUGAUGAAGGCCCUAGGGUUGUAAAGCUCUUUCAGCGGGGAAGAUAAUGACGGUACCCGCAGAAGAAGCCCCGGCUAACUUCGUGCCAGCAGCCGCGGUAAUACGAAGGGGGCUAGCGUUGUUCGGAAUCACUGGGCGUAAAGCGCGUGUAGGCGGAUCGUUAAGUCGGGGGUGAAAUCCUGAGGCUCAACCUCAGAACUGCCUUCGAUACUGGCGAUCUUGGAGUCCGGGAGAGGUGAGUGGAACUCCUAGUGUAGAGGUGAAAUUCGUAGAUAUUAGGAAGAACACCAGUGGCGAAGGCGGCUCACUGGCCCGGUACUGACGCUGAUAUGCGAAAGCGUGGGGAGCAAA
Molecule: ribosomal RNA, 386 nt
Filed under: uncultured bacterium
Lineage: Bacteria
Description: bacterial SSU rRNA
Rfam family: Bacterial small subunit ribosomal RNA
Source: RNAcentral